UACGUAGGGUGCAAGCGUUGUUCGGAAUUACUGGGCGUAAAGGGCUCGUAGGUGGCCAACUAAGUCAGACGUGAAAUCCCUCGGCUUAACCGGGGAACUGCGUCUGAUACUGGAUGGCUUGAGUUUGGGAGAGGGACGCGGAAUUCCAGGUGUAGCGGUGAAAUGCGUAGAUAUCUGGAGGAACACCGGUGGCGAAGGCGGCGUCCUGGACCAACACUGACACUGAUGAGCGAAAGCCAGGGGAGCAAACGGG
Molecule: ribosomal RNA, 253 nt
Filed under: uncultured bacterium
Lineage: Bacteria
Description: partial 16S ribosomal RNA
Rfam family: Bacterial small subunit ribosomal RNA
Source: RNAcentral